This 433-nucleotide ribosomal RNA is filed under the name uncultured bacterium. RNAcentral describes it as "partial 16S ribosomal RNA". It matches the Rfam family "Bacterial small subunit ribosomal RNA", at positions 29 to 507 of the family's 1533-position model. The record is from RNAcentral.
AACGAACGCUGGCGGCAUGCCUAACACAUGCAAGUCGAACGAGACCUCCGGGUUUGGUGGCUAACGGGUGCGUAACCGGUUGGAACCUGCCCUAGUGUUCUGAAUAACUCCCUGAAAUGGCUUCUAAUACCGGAUAAUGUUAUCGGACCAAAGAUGUAUCGCCUUUGGGUGGGCCGGCGUUGGUUUAGCUAGUUGGUAGGGUAAAAGCCUACCAAGGCGUCGAUCCAUAGCUGGUCUGAGAGGGUGAUCAGCCGCACUGGGACUGAGACCCGGCCCAGACUGGUAGGGGAGGCAGGGAUGGGGGAUAUUGGACAGGGGGCGAGAGGCUGAUCCGGCGAUGCCGCGAGAGUGAUGAAGGGCUUAGGGUUGUAAAGCUCUUUUACCCGGGAUGAUAGUGACAGUACCGGGAGAAUAAGCUCCGGCUAACUACGUG